UGGCUCAGAUUGAACGCUGGCGGCAUGCCUUACACAUGCAAGUCGAACGGUAACAGGCCGCAAGGUGCUGACGAGUGGCGAACGGGUGAGUAACACAUCGGAACGUGCCUGAUAGUGGGGGAUAACUACUCGAAAGAGUAGCUAAUACCGCAUAAGAUCUCAGGAUGAAAGCAGGGGACCGCAAGGCCUUGCGCUAACAGAGCGGCCGAUGGCAGAUUAGGUAGUUGGUGGGAUAAAAGCUUACCAAGCCGACGAUCUGUAGCUGGUCUGAGAGGACGACCAGCCACACUGGGACUGAGACACGGCCCAGACUCCUACGGGAGGCAGCAGUGGGGAAUUUUGGACAAUGGGCGCAAGCCUGAUCCAGCAAUGCCGCGUGCAGGAUGAAGGCCUUCGGGUUGUAAACUGCUUUUGUACGGAACGAAAAAGCUCUGGUUAAUACCUGGGGCCUAUGACGGUACCGUAAGAAUAAGCACCGGCUAACUACGUG
Molecule: ribosomal RNA, 490 nt
Filed under: uncultured bacterium
Lineage: Bacteria
Description: bacterial SSU rRNA
Rfam family: Bacterial small subunit ribosomal RNA
Source: RNAcentral